Molecule: long non-coding RNA, 343 nt
Organism: Anneissia japonica
Lineage: Eukaryota; Metazoa; Echinodermata; Crinoidea; Comatulida; Comatulidae
Exons: 2
Source: RefSeq, a predicted model, not a curated record
UUUUUUAUGUGCAUUGUGGGUAGGUUUUGAACGUGUGGAUGGAUGUGCGAAGAUCGACGACAUAUUCUGGUAGUGUUUUCCGUAUAUUUGGUGUUCCUGUUUCACCUAUAUAAUCGGAUUUUCGAUAACAGAAUCCCUAUCGGGACAAAGCAGUAAUGUAAACGGACUGCAAUUUGUAUUAAUACUAUUUCUUACUAAAAUUGAAUUUGACGACAAUUAAAACGGAGUAUAGCUACCUGAGAGACUUUUACAUAUGGACUUAAAAUUUUGAUGAUAUUUGCUUCAUCAUCAAUUAAUAAACAAUCAACAAGAUGGUUUUAUCUCAAAGACAAAGAGAAGAAUU